RNAcentral lists this ribosomal RNA (119 nucleotides) under Pteropus alecto (black flying fox). Lineage: Eukaryota; Metazoa; Chordata; Mammalia; Chiroptera; Pteropodidae. RNAcentral also lists the same sequence under 1 other name. The record is from RNAcentral.
AUCUAUAGCCAUGCCACCCUGAACGUGCCCAAUCCCAUAUGAUCUCAGAAGCUAAGCAGGUUUGGGCCUGGUUAGUACUUGGAUGGGAGACCACCUAGGAAUAACGGGUGCUGUAAGCA